RNAcentral lists this ribosomal RNA (497 nucleotides) under uncultured bacterium. Its description in RNAcentral is "partial 16S ribosomal RNA". It matches the Rfam family "Bacterial small subunit ribosomal RNA", at positions 28 to 507 of the family's 1533-position model. The record is from RNAcentral.
GAUGAACGCUGGCGGCGUGCCUAAUACAUGCAAGUCGAGCGAACAGACGAGGAGCUUGCUCCUCUGACGUUAGCGGCGGACGGGUGAGUAACACGUGGAUAACCUACCUAUAAGACUGGGAUAACUUCGGGAAACCGGAGCUAAUACCGGAUAAUAUAUUGAACCGCAUGGUUCAAUAGUGAAAGACGGUUUUGCUGUCACUUAUAGACGGAUCCGCGCCGCAUUAGCUAGUUGGUAAGGUAACGGCUUACCAAGGCAACGAUGCGUAGCCGACCUGAGAGGGUGAUCGGCCACACUGGAACUGAGACACGGUCCAGACUCCUAUGGGAGGCAGCAGUAGGGAAUCUUCCGCAAUGGGCGAAAGCCUGACGGAGCAACGCCGCGUGAGUGAUGAAGGUCUUCGGAUCGUAAAACUCUGUUAUUAGGGAAGAACAAAUGUGUAAGUAACUAUGCACGUCUUGACGGUACCUAAUCAGAAAGCCACGGCUAACUACGUG